Molecule: ribosomal RNA, 334 nt
Filed under: uncultured eukaryote
Lineage: Eukaryota
Description: partial 18S ribosomal RNA
Rfam family: Eukaryotic small subunit ribosomal RNA
Source: RNAcentral
CCCUUAGAUGUCCGGGGCCGCACGCGCGCUACACUGAAGGAAUCAGCGUGGCUUUCUCCCUGACCCGAGAGGGUUGGGAAACCCGUUGAAUCUCCUUCGUGAUAGGGAUUGGGGCUUGAAAUUCUUCCCCAUGAACGAGGAAUUCCCAGUAAGCGCGAGUCAUAAGCUCGCGUUGAUUACGUCCCUGCCCUUUGUACACACCGCCCGUCGCUACUACCGAUUGAACGGUUUAGUGAGGGCCUCGGAUUGGUCUCGGCCCGCCCUUCACCGGGCGGCGCCGUUGGUCGAGAAGACGCUCGAACUUGAUCGUUUAGAGGAAGUAAAAGUCGUAACA